AAUAAUCUAGGAGAUGUAUCAAAAAGGUUAUAGCUUUGAAACAGAGGCAGACAAAUUAAGUGCUAUCAUUCUUCCAUGUAGUUAAAGACUGAGAGAAUUGUUGGUUAAGCAUGUGUAUUCAAGGGUUUGAGAAAGGAUAUUGAACAGUACAAUAAUACUGAACCAGAAUAAGGUUUCAUGGAAGAUGGCAUAGGUGUGUAUAAGGGGAUGUGCCUGCCUGUCUAAUAACCUAGCCCUAAUUGCUGUAUGUAAUGGUUCCAAGCCGUUUGCCCUGUAAUGUAUGAUGCAAAGUGCUGUAAUAAGACCUUUCCCUUAUGGAAAAGGAAAAAAAAAAAAAAAAAGAACAUAUGUUAAUUUAAGUGUUUCAUUGAAGGUAAAAUGCAGGUUUGUUUGUUAUAGAGAUGGAAUCAAGGAUAGCAAAUGCUGACAAAGAGAAAAGAUGGGCAAGCAGUUUUUUGUGAUUAAUACCUAAUGGACCGGAUGAAACAAGGAAGCAAAAAUGAAGUUUAGUGGACCCUUAAUAUCCCCAGAAACUGCUACAGAAGGAGGUGUUCUGGUGAGGGUAACUAAGGUAACUGUUGAUAACAAACGCCUAUUAUUUCUGUCUCCCAGGAGCCGCACUGAGGACUAGGUAACCCAUUCUUACCCUUUGGAUAUUGUUAACUGUAUCUGCCUUAGUUUUGCUUUAGCUGUUUCUGUUUGGUGGUGUUAACUUAUAUGCGUAUACAGAACUGCAUUUGCCCAGGUUAGGGAACCAUAAUUAAAGCUUUGAGGGGGGAAAAAAAGCUCUAAAAUGAGAAUCUCCCAGUGACCUUAGUGGUUUGAUUCAUUUGCAGGAUAAUGUUCCAAGGGCCAGCAACUUGAAGAGGAGCAAUUCAACCCGUUUUCUUAAUUUCGGUGACACUGUUUUAAGGAAGCAUCGUUCAGCUUUGUGCACUGACCUGAGGUCUGGAUUUGAUACGGCACAGGCCCAUCACACUGAGAGCGGCGAUGUGACAGAGCUGAAUCCUAUUCCUGAAGGAAAAAGCAGAGGGGGUGGGCUGUCGGCUGCUCAGACACCUGCCACGUCAAGGGCAGCAGCAGGAGCUGACCCUUCCCUGACGGACCGAUGAACACUGGUGCGGAGAUGACUCUUCAGGUGUCACAGGGUAAGGGGAAGCAUGCUGGCACCGAGCUCCAUGGCAGACUGUCUCCCAGGUGUUGCUUCUGUGCAGUAAAACAAUAAACAGUUUCUUUAUUCUUUGUGCUCA
Non-coding RNA from Struthio camelus australis, 1250 nucleotides. Lineage: Eukaryota; Metazoa; Chordata; Aves; Struthioniformes; Struthionidae. The record is from RefSeq and is a predicted model, not a curated record.